This 437-nucleotide ribosomal RNA is filed under the name uncultured Oscillospiraceae bacterium. Its description in RNAcentral is "partial 16S ribosomal RNA". It matches the Rfam family "Bacterial small subunit ribosomal RNA", at positions 341 to 792 of the family's 1533-position model. The record is from RNAcentral. Lineage: Bacteria; Bacillati; Bacillota; Clostridia; Eubacteriales; Oscillospiraceae.
ACGGAAGGCAGCAGUGGGGAAUAUUGGGCAAUGGGCGAAAGCCUGACCCAGCAACGCCGCGUGAAGGAAGAAGGUCUUCGGAUUGUAAACUUCUUUUAUGAGGGACGAAGGACGUGACGGUACCUCAUGAAUAAGCCACGGCUAACUACGUGCCAGCAGCCGCGGUAAUACGUAGGUGGCAAGCGUUAUCCGGAUUUACUGGGUGUAAAGGGCGCGUAGGCGGGGAGACAAGUCAGGUGUGAAAUCUAUGGGUUUAACCCAUAAACUGCAUUUGAAACUGUAUCUCUUGAGUGCUGGAGAGGUAGAUGGAAUUCCUUGUGUAGCGGUGAAAUGCGUAGAUAUAAGGAAGAACACCAGUGGCGAAGGCGAUCUACUGGACAGUAACUGACGCUGAGGCGCGAAAGCGUGGGGAGCAACCAGGAUUAGAUACCCUGGUA